RNAcentral lists this ribosomal RNA (99 nucleotides) under Bacillus cereus. RNAcentral describes it as "partial 16S ribosomal RNA". It matches the Rfam family "Bacterial small subunit ribosomal RNA", at positions 1 to 96 of the family's 1533-position model. Lineage: Bacteria; Bacillati; Bacillota; Bacilli; Caryophanales; Bacillaceae. The record is from RNAcentral.
CUUUAUUGGAGAGUUUGAUCCUGGCUCAGGAUGAACGCUGGCGGCGUGCCUAAUACAUGCAAGUCGAGCGAAUGGAUUAAGAGCUUGCUCUUAUGAAGU